UACGAAGGGGGCUAGCGUUGCUCGGAAUCACUGGGCGUAAAGGGCGCGUAGGCGGGCCCGCAAGUCAGGGGUGAAAUCCCACGGCUCAACCGUGGAAGUGCCUUUGAUACUGCGGGUCUGGAGGGAGGUAGGGGCGUGCGGAACUUCCGGUGGAGCGGUGAAAUGCGUAGAUAUCGGAAGGAACACCGGUGGCGAAAGCGGCGCGCUGGACCUCUACUGACGCUGAGGCGCGAAAGCCAGGGGAGCAAACGGG
This 253-nucleotide ribosomal RNA is filed under the name uncultured bacterium. RNAcentral's name for it is "partial 16S ribosomal RNA". It matches the Rfam family "Bacterial small subunit ribosomal RNA", at positions 524 to 776 of the family's 1533-position model. The record is from RNAcentral.